UACGUAGGGCGCAAGCGUUGUCCGGAAUUAUUGGGCGUAAAGAGCUCGUAGGCGGUCUGUUACGUCCGCUGUGAAAACCCAGGGCUUAACCCUGGGCUUGCAGUGGAUACGGGCAGACUAGAGGCAGGUAGGGGAGAAUGGAAUUCCCGGUGUAGCGGUGAAAUGCGUAGAUAUCGAGAGGAACACCUGCGGCGAAGGCGGGUUGCUGGGCCGACACUGACGCUGAUGCGCGAAAGCCAGGGGAGCGAACGGG
RNAcentral lists this ribosomal RNA (253 nucleotides) under uncultured bacterium. RNAcentral describes it as "partial 16S ribosomal RNA". It matches the Rfam family "Bacterial small subunit ribosomal RNA", at positions 524 to 776 of the family's 1533-position model. The record is from RNAcentral.